Molecule: ribosomal RNA, 312 nt
Filed under: Triticum aestivum (bread wheat)
Lineage: Eukaryota; Viridiplantae; Streptophyta; Magnoliopsida; Poales; Poaceae
Description: partial small subunit ribosomal RNA
Source: RNAcentral
AUGGUUGGCCUCCUGGGUGGUCUUGUUAAUGAGUUCAUGUCCUUGGAUGAUGAAGACAGCUCAUGGAUGUCCCGUGUGUUAGAGAACCAACUAAAGGGUUUAUCUUCUGCUGCUGGGAAGACUGCCGGGAAGACUGCAAGCACCCGUCCUGCAUCCCGCUCGCGUGAAGUAAAAGAUACCGGCAAGCAAGCUGUCGAAGUUUCAGAUUUUGAUCAUGAGGAUAGUGAUGGUGGCAGUGAUGGUCACUCUGACGAAGAUCUAGAUUUUCACGUUCAUUACCAUGGUUCUUUAGGUGGGCCGAACGCCCAUUAG